UCCCUGCUGGCGCAAUGGUAGCGCGCAAGACUUCUAUUAAUGACUUCGGUCGAUGGUGAAUCUUGAGGCUGCAGGUUCGAAUCCUGCGUGGGGAG
Ciborinia camelliae is the source of this 95-nucleotide non-coding RNA. NCBI's taxonomy places the organism in Eukaryota, Fungi, Ascomycota, Leotiomycetes, Helotiales, Sclerotiniaceae. The record is from the annotation of a GenBank genome assembly.